Molecule: ribosomal RNA, 253 nt
Filed under: uncultured bacterium
Lineage: Bacteria
Description: partial 16S ribosomal RNA
Rfam family: Bacterial small subunit ribosomal RNA
Source: RNAcentral
UACGGAGGGUGCAAGCGUUAUCCGGAAUUACUGGGUUUAAAGGGUGCGUAGGCGGCUUCAUAAGUCAGGGGAGAAAGCCUAUCGCUUAACGAUAGAAUUGCCUUUGAGACUGUAAAGCUUGAAAGGGGUUGAGGUCAGCAGAAUGUGGCAUGUAGCGGUGAAAUGCAUAGAUAUGCCAUAGCACAUCGAUUGCGAAUGCCGCUGGCUGGGCCUACUUUGACGCUGAGGCACGCAACUGUGGGGAGCGAUCAGG